CCUACGGGGGGCAGCAGUGGGGAAUAUUGGGCAAUGGAGGCAACUCUGACCCAGCAACGCCGCGUGAGUGAUGAAGGUCUUCGGAUUGUAAAACUCUUUAAGUGGGGACGAAGAAAGUGACUGUCCCCACAGAAUAAGCGUCGGCUAACUACGUGCCAGCAGCCGCGGUAAGACGUAGGAGGCAAGCGUUAUCCGGAAUGACUGGGCGUAACGGGUGUGUAGGUGGUUUGACAAGUUAGUAGCGUAAUUCAGGGGCUCAACUUCGGAACGACUACUAAAACUGGUGGGCUUUAGUGCAGGAUGGGUGGAUGGAAUGCCUAGUGUAGCGGUGGAAUGCGUCGAUAUUAGGAGGACCACCAGCGGCGAACGCGCUUCACUGGACUGUACCUGACACUGAGGCACGACAGCGUGGGGAGCGAACAGGAUUAGAUACCCGGGUAGUC
RNAcentral lists this ribosomal RNA (443 nucleotides) under uncultured bacterium. RNAcentral's name for it is "partial 16S ribosomal RNA". It matches the Rfam family "Bacterial small subunit ribosomal RNA", at positions 338 to 795 of the family's 1533-position model. The record is from RNAcentral.